UCUUAGCUCAGCUGGGAGAGCAUCUGCCUUACAAGCAGAGGGUCAUAGGUUCGAGCCCUAUAGGCCCCA
This 69-nucleotide transfer RNA is filed under the name Firmicutes bacterium CAG:65_45_313. RNAcentral's name for it is "tRNA-Val". It matches the Rfam family "tRNA". From Rfam's summary of the family: Transfer RNA (tRNA) molecules are approximately 80 nucleotides in length. Their secondary structure includes four short double-helical elements and three loops (D, anti-codon, and T loops). Further hydrogen bonds mediate the characteristic L-shaped molecular structure. tRNAs have two regions of fundamental functional importance: the anti-codon, which is responsible for specific mRNA codon recognition, and the 3' end, to which the tRNAs corresponding amino acid is attached (by aminoacyl-tRNA synthetases). tRNAs cope with the degeneracy of the genetic code in two manners: having more than one tRNA (with a specific anti-codon) for a particular amino acid; and 'wobble' base-pairing, i.e. permitting non-standard base-pairing at the 3rd anti-codon position. The record is from RNAcentral. Lineage: Bacteria; Bacillati; Bacillota.